GAUGAACGCUGGCGGCGUGCCUAAUACAUGCAAGUCGAGCGAACAGACGAGGAGCUUGCUCCUCUGACGUUAGCGGCGGACGGGUGAGUAACACGUGGAUAACCUACCUAUAAGACUGGGAUAACUUCGGGAAACCGGAGCUAAUACCGGAUAAUAUAUUGAACCGCAUGGUUCAAUAGUGAAAGACGGUUUUGCUGUCACUUAUAGAUGGAUCCGCGCCGCAUUAGCUAGUUGGUAAGGUAACGGCUUUCCAAGGCAACGAUGCGUAGGCGAACUGAGAGGGUGAUCGGCCACACUGGAACUGAGACACGGUCCAGACUCCUACGGGAGGCAGCAGUAGGGAAUCUUCCGCAAAGGGCGGAAGCCUGACGGAGCAACGCCGCGUGAGUUAUGAAGGUCUUCGGAUCGUAAAACUCUGUUAUUAGGGAAGAACAAAUGUGUAAGUAACUAUGCACGUCUUGACGGUACCUAAUCAGAAAGCCACGGCUAACUACGUG
This 497-nucleotide ribosomal RNA is filed under the name uncultured bacterium. Its description in RNAcentral is "partial 16S ribosomal RNA". It matches the Rfam family "Bacterial small subunit ribosomal RNA", at positions 28 to 507 of the family's 1533-position model. The record is from RNAcentral.